UCCGGGGGGUGCAAGCGUUGUUCGGAAUUACUGGGCGUAAAGGGCGCGUAGGCGGUUUGCUAAGUUGAAUGUGAAAACUCUGGGCUUAACCCAGAGCCUGCAUUCAAUACUGGCAGGCUAGAGUUCUGGAGGGGAUAGCGGAAUUCCUGGUGUAGCGGUGAAAUGCGUAGAUAUCAGGAGGAACACCGGUGGCGAAGGCGGCUAUCUGGACAGAGUCUGACGCUGAGGCGCGAAAGCUAGGGGAGCAAACAGG
This 253-nucleotide ribosomal RNA is filed under the name uncultured bacterium. RNAcentral's name for it is "partial 16S ribosomal RNA". It matches the Rfam family "Bacterial small subunit ribosomal RNA", at positions 524 to 776 of the family's 1533-position model. The record is from RNAcentral.